RNAcentral lists this ribosomal RNA (251 nucleotides) under uncultured Lactobacillus sp. Its description in RNAcentral is "partial 16S ribosomal RNA". It matches the Rfam family "Bacterial small subunit ribosomal RNA", at positions 113 to 356 of the family's 1533-position model. The record is from RNAcentral. Lineage: Bacteria; Bacillati; Bacillota; Bacilli; Lactobacillales; Lactobacillaceae.
CAACGUGGGGGAACCUGCCCCAUAGUCUGGGAUACCACUUGGAAACAGGUGCUAAUACCGGAUAAGAAAGCGGAUCGCAUGAUCAGCUUUUAAAAGGCGGCGUAAGCUGUCGCUAUGGGAUGGCCCCGCGGUGCAUUAGCUAGUUGGUAAGGUAAAGGCUUACCAAGGCGAUGAUGCAUAGCCGAGUUGAGAGACUGAUCGGCCACAUUGGGACUGAGACACGGCCCAAACUCCUACGGGAGGCAGCAGCG